AAUCUUCCACAAUGGGCGAAAGCCUGAUGGAGCAACGCCGCGUGAGUGAAGAAGGUUUUCGGAUCGUAAAACUCUGUUGUAAGGGAAGAACAAGUACAGAAGUAACUGGCUGUACCUUGACGGUACCUUAUUAGAAAUCCACGGCUAACUACGUGCCAGCAUCCGCGGUAAUACGUAGGUGGCAAGCGUUGUCCGGAAUUAUUGGGCUUAAAGCGCGCGCAGGCGGUCCUUUAAGUCUGAUGUGAAAGCCCACGGCUCAACCGUGGAGGGUCAUUGGAAACUGGGGGACUUGAGUGCAGAAGAGGAAAGUGGAAUUCCAAGUGUAGCGGUGAAACGCGUAGAGAUUUGGAGGAACACCAGUGGCGAAGGCGGCUCACUGGCCCGAUACUGACGCUGAGGCGCGAAAGCGUGGGGAGCAAACAGG
RNAcentral lists this ribosomal RNA (424 nucleotides) under uncultured bacterium. RNAcentral describes it as "partial 16S ribosomal RNA". It matches the Rfam family "Bacterial small subunit ribosomal RNA", at positions 360 to 776 of the family's 1533-position model. The record is from RNAcentral.